GCCAGUUCUUGUCCACCUCCUUGUGGAUGUAGACAAUGUCACCCUUCUGCAGAGUCAGCUCCCUGCAGGUGGGGACGAGGACCGCAGGGUUCCCCCGCCACCCCAGGGACCGGAGCCCCCACCCCCACGCUGCUUCCUGCCAGCCUCUGCUAUGGGUCUUCGCCGAAUCAGGCCCUCGGAGCUUCUCAAGGGUCCAGCUCCACCUCCAAGAAUAUUUCCUGAUAAUCCCAGUGCGCACUGACCACUCCCUUUUCUGCUCCUGCUUUGGCCAACACAUAUUUAUUUAACACAUGUUUACUGAGCGCCUCCUGUAUGCCAGCCACUGUCCUGAGUGCUGGCAUUACAGAAAUAAACCAUGUGGGACUGGA
Molecule: long non-coding RNA, 368 nt
Filed under: Homo sapiens (human)
Lineage: Eukaryota; Metazoa; Chordata; Mammalia; Primates; Hominidae
Description: HSALNT0345635
Source: RNAcentral